This 950-nucleotide non-coding RNA is filed under the name Bathytyphlops sewelli (Sewell's spiderfish). RNAcentral's name for it is "12S rRNA". It matches the Rfam family "Bacterial small subunit ribosomal RNA". Lineage: Eukaryota; Metazoa; Chordata; Actinopteri; Aulopiformes; Ipnopidae. The record is from RNAcentral.
AAGCUUGGUCCUGGCUUUACUGUCGGCUUUUACCAGAUUUACACAUGCAAGUCUCCGCACCCCUGUGAGAAUGCCCUUAAUCUCCCAUCCGGAAACGAGGAGCCGGCAUCAGGCGCGCCUAUUCGGCAGCCCAAGACGCCUUGCUUCGCCACACCCCCAAGGGAUUUCAGCAGUGAUAGACAUUAAGCAAUAAGUGAAAACUUGACUUAGUUAAGGUAAAUUAGGCCCGGUAAAACUCGUGCCAGCCACCGCGGUUAUACGAGAGGUCCAAGUUGAUAGACAUCGGCGUAAAGAGUGGUUACGGACAAUUCCCUCGCUAAAGUCGAACACCCCCCAAGCUGUCAUACGCACUCGGGGGUCUGAAGCUCCGCCACGAAAGUGACUUUAUACCCACCCCGAACCCACUACAGCUAUGAAACAAACUGGGAUUAGAUACCCCACUAUGCAUGGCCUUAAAUUUUGGUGGUGCCUCACACCCACCACCCGCCCGGGAACUACAAGCACCAGCUUAAAACCCAAAGGACUUGGCGGUGCUUCAGACCCAUCUAGAGGAGCCUGUUCUAGAACCGAUACCCCCCGUUUAACCUCACCACCCCUGGCCGUUCCCGCCUAUAUACCGCCGUCGUCAGCUUACCCUUUGAGGGUCCCGAAGUAAGCAAAGCAAGUACAACCCAAAACGUCAGGUCGAGGUGUAGCGCAUGAGGUGGGAAGAAAUGGGCUACAUUCUCUGCCCCAGAGUAUACGAAAGGUGCAAUGAAAUAAGCACCCGAAGGAGGAUUUAGCAGUAAGAAAGAACGAGAGUGUCUUUCUGAAACUGGCUCUGAAGCAUGCACACACCGCCCGUCACUCUCCCCAAACUUUUCAUCCAUUAGCUUAUUAAGAAGUUCUUAAGUCAAGGGGAGGCAAGUCGUAACAAGGUAAGUGUACCGGAAGGUGCACUUGGAAUAAAC